This 397-nucleotide ribosomal RNA is filed under the name uncultured bacterium. Its description in RNAcentral is "partial 16S ribosomal RNA". It matches the Rfam family "Bacterial small subunit ribosomal RNA", at positions 523 to 918 of the family's 1533-position model. The record is from RNAcentral.
AUACGUAGGGGGCGAGCGUUGUCCGGAAUGAUUGGGCGUAAAGGGCGCGUAGGCGGCGCGGUAAGUCUGGAGUGAAAGUCCUGUUUUUAAGAUGGGAAUUGCUUUGGAUACUGUCGGGCUUGAGUGCAGGAGAGGUAAGUGGAAUUCCCAGUGUAGCGGUGAAAUGCGUAGAGAUUGGGAGGAACACCAGUGGCGAAGGCGACUUACUGGACUGUAACUGACGCUGAGGCGCGAAAGUGUGGGGAGCAAACAGGAUUAGAUACCCUGGUAGUCCACACUGUAAACGAUGAAUGCUAGGUGUAGGGGGUAUCGACCCCUUCUGUGCCGCAGUCAACACAAUAAGCAUUCCGCCUGGGGAGUACGGCCGCAAGGUUGAAACUCAAAUGAAUUGGCGGGG